UGGGGAAUAUUGCACAAUGGGCGCAAGCCUGAUGCAGCCAUGCCGCGUGUGUGAAGAAGGCCUUCGGGUUGUAAAGCACUUUCAGCGAGGAGGAAGGUGGUGAGCUUAAUACGCUCAUCAAUUGACGUUACUCGCAGAAGAAGCACCGGCUAACUCCGUGCCAGCAGCCGCGGUAAUACGGAGGGUGCAAGCGUUAAUCGGAAUUACUGGGCGUAAAGCGCACGCAGGCGGUUUGUUAAGUCAGAUGUGAAAUCCCCGGGCUCAACCUGGGAACUGCAUUUGAAACUGGCAAGCUAGAGUCUCGUAGAGGGGGGUAGAAUUCCAGGUGUAGCGGUGAAAUGCGUAGAGAUCUGGAGGAAUACCGGUGGCGAAGGCGGCCCCCUGGACGAAGACUGACGCUCAGGUGCGAAAGCGUGGGGCAGCAAACAGGAUUAGAUACCCUGGUAGUCCAGCGCUGUAAACGAUGUCGAUUUUGGAGGUUGUGCCCUUGAGGCGUGGCUUCCGGAGCUAACGCGUUAAAUCGACCGCCUGGGGAGUACGGCCGCAAGAUUAAAACUCAAAUGAAUUGACGGGGUCAUAGCUGUUUCCU
This 589-nucleotide ribosomal RNA is filed under the name uncultured bacterium. Its description in RNAcentral is "partial 16S ribosomal RNA". It matches the Rfam family "Bacterial small subunit ribosomal RNA", at positions 355 to 1375 of the family's 1533-position model. The record is from RNAcentral.